RNAcentral lists this ribosomal RNA (1372 nucleotides) under Onthophagus fimetarius. RNAcentral's name for it is "16S ribosomal RNA". The stretch from base 1100 to 1259 matches the Rfam family "Archaeal large subunit ribosomal RNA", at positions 2542 to 2701 of the family's 2987-position model. The record is from RNAcentral. Lineage: Eukaryota; Metazoa; Arthropoda; Insecta; Coleoptera; Scarabaeidae.
AAAAUCAAUUUAAUUUGAUAUUAAUAAAUUUAUUGAUUUUUUUUUUAUAAUAAGUAAUUUUUAAUAAAAAUAUUUUUUUUUUUUUAUAAAUUUAGAUAAAAUUAAUAUUAAUUAUAGAGAAUUUAGUAUAGUAAUAGAUUAUUGAAAUAAAAUUGAAAAUUAAAAUUUUAAAAAGAAAAUUUAAAUUAUUGUACCUUGUGUAUCAGGGUUUAUUAAAUAAAAAUUAUAAAGUUAAUUUUCUCGAAUUUAAAAGAGCUAAGAAAUUAUAAAUUUUAUUGUGAAAUAAAUAUUUAAAAUAAUUUUUUAGUAAUGAAACGUUAGUCGUUUUUAAAUUUAUCUAGUUUUUUAAGAAAUAAAUUUAAUUUAGUUAUUUAUUAAUUCAAUAUUAUAUUUUUAUAUUAAAUUGAAAUAAAUAAUUAAUAUUUUAAGGGAUAAGCUUUAAAAUAAAGGUUUUAUAAAUAUAAUUUAUAUAGUUUAAAAUUUAUAGGAAUGGAAGUAUUUAUUUAUUUAAGUGUGUUAUAACAAAUUUUGUUAAAAAUAUAUAAUUUAUAUAUUAUUUUAAAUAAUUUAUUAAAAUAAUUAAUUUAAUAAAAUAAUUAAUGUAAUAAUGAUAGAAUUAGUAUAAUAUAUUAAUGUUAGUUUAAUUUAUAAUUAAAAGGUUAAAUUAAGGAACUCGGCAAAUAUUUUUUUCGCCUGUUUAUUAAAAACAUGUCUUUUUGAUAAUAAUUUAAAGUCUGACCUGCCCUAUGAUUUUAUUAAAUGGCCGCGAUAUUUUGAUCGUGCAAAGGUAGCAUAAUAAUUAGUUUUUUAAUUGGGAACUGGAAUGAAAGGUCGAACGAGAAAAAAUCUGUCUCAAUUUAAAUUAAAUUAGAAUUUUAUUUUUAAGUAAAAAAGCUUAAAUAUUUUUAAAAGACGAGAAGACCCUAUAGAGUUUUAUAAUUAAUUUAUAAUUUUUUAGUUUAAGAAUUUAAUUUUAAAAUUAUAAUUUAAUUAUUUAGUUGGGGUGAUUGAAAAAUUAAAUAAACUUUUUUUAAUUUUUACCAUUAAUAUAUGAAUUAAUGAUCCAUUUUUAAUGAUUAAAAGAUUAAAUUACCUUAGGGAUAACAGCGUAAUUUUUUUUGAGAGUUCUUAUCGAAAAAAAAGUUUGCGACCUCGAUGUUGGAUUAAAAUUAAUUUUUGGUGUAGGAGCUAGAAAUAUUAGGUCUGUUCGACCUUUAAAAUUUUACAUGAUCUGAGUUUAAACCGGUGUGAGCCAGGUUGGUUUCUAUCUUUAAAUAUAAGUAGAUAUUUUAGUACGAAAGGAUCAAUUAUCUAUAAUAAUUAUUAUAUAUUAUGAAUAUCAUUAAUAAAAUAUUACUUUGGCAGAAUAGUG